ACGGAAGGCAGCAGUGGGGAAUUUUGCGCAAUGGGGGGAACCCUGACGCAGCAACGCCGCGUGCGGGAUGAAGGCCUUCGGGUUGUAAACCGCUUUCAGCAGGGACGAUUAUGACGGUACCUGCAGAAGAAGCUCCGGCUAACUACGUGCCAGCAGCCGCGGUAAUACGUAGGGAGCGAGCGUUAUCCGGAUUCAUUGGGCGUAAAGCGCGCGUAGGCGGCUUGCUAAGCGGAACCUCUAAUCCGAGGGCUCAACCCCCGGCCGGGUUCCGAACUGGCAGGCUCGAGUGCGGUAGGGGCAAGUGGAAUUCCAUGUGUAGCGGUGGAAUGCGCAGAUAUAUGGAAGAACACCGAUGGCGAAGGCAGCUUGCUGGGCCGACACUGACGCUGAGGUGCGAAAGCGUGGGGAGCGGACAGGAUUAGAUACCCUGGUA
This 433-nucleotide ribosomal RNA is filed under the name uncultured Coriobacteriaceae bacterium. RNAcentral describes it as "partial 16S ribosomal RNA". It matches the Rfam family "Bacterial small subunit ribosomal RNA", at positions 341 to 792 of the family's 1533-position model. The record is from RNAcentral. Lineage: Bacteria; Bacillati; Actinomycetota; Coriobacteriia; Coriobacteriales; Coriobacteriaceae.